RNAcentral lists this ribosomal RNA (479 nucleotides) under uncultured bacterium. Its description in RNAcentral is "bacterial SSU rRNA". It matches the Rfam family "Bacterial small subunit ribosomal RNA", at positions 30 to 509 of the family's 1533-position model. The record is from RNAcentral.
AUUGAACGCUGGCGGCAUGCCUUACACAUGCAAGUCGAACGGUAACGGGCCUUCGGGUGCCGACGAGUGGCGAACGGGUGAGUAAUGUAUCGGAACGUACCUUUCAGUGGGGGAUAACGUAGCGAAAGUUACGCUAAUACCGCAUAUUCUGUGAGCAGGAAAGCAGGGGAUCGCAAGACCUUGCGCUGAUUGAGCGGCCGAUAUCAGAUUAGCUAGUUGGUGAGGUAAAGGCUCACCAAGGCGACGAUCUGUAGCGGGUCUGAGAGGAUGAUCCGCCACACUGGAACUGAGACACGGUCCAGACUCCUACGGGAGGCAGCAGUGAGGAAUAUUGGUCAAUGGGCGGCAGCCUGAACCAGCCAUCCCGCGUGAAGGAAGAAUGCGCUAUGCGUUGUAAACUUCUUUUCCAGGAGAAUAAAAUGCCAUACGUGUAUGGUACUGAAGGUAUCCUGGGAAUAAGCAUCGGCUAACUCCGUGCC